This 97-nucleotide signal recognition particle RNA is filed under the name Deinococcota bacterium. Its description in RNAcentral is "signal recognition particle sRNA small type". It matches the Rfam family "Bacterial small signal recognition particle RNA". From Rfam's summary of the family: The signal recognition particle (SRP) is a universally conserved ribonucleoprotein involved in the co-translational targeting of proteins to membranes. RNAcentral also lists the same sequence under 2 other names. Lineage: Bacteria; Thermotogati; Deinococcota. The record is from RNAcentral.
CCGUCGGACCAGCGCGGUGGCGACCCUCGAACCAGGUCAGGUCGGAAGAAGCAGCCUUAAGAGGUGAUCGUCAGGUGCCGUUGGAAACCGGCGGGGC